The sequence is a ribosomal RNA, 477 nucleotides long. It matches the Rfam family "Bacterial large subunit ribosomal RNA", at positions 1829 to 2523 of the family's 2925-position model.
CGCCUCUUGACACAACAUAGGAGGUCCAGCCUGCCCAGUGACAGAGUUCAACGGCUACGGUACCCUGACCGUACGAAGGUAGCAUAAUCACUUGUUCCUUAAAUGGGGACUUGUAUCAACGGCAUCACGAGGGCUGCACUGUCUCCUUUCUUCAAUCAGUGAAACUGAUCCCCCCGUGAAGAAGCGGGGAUGAAAUUAUAAGACGAGAAGACCCCAUGGAGCUUUAAAUAAUACAGCCACACUAUAUCAAAAUAUCCUCUUACUAAAAGUCCUGACUGUAAAUUUUAGGUUGGGGAGACCGCGGAGAACAACUAAACCUCCACGACAGACGGCCUAAGCCCUUAUCCACGAAUAACACUUGUAAGAAUCAGUACUCUGAUGUUAUUGACCCGAUAUUAUUCGACUGACGAACCAAGUUACCCUGGGGAUAACAGCGCAAUCUACUUUGAGAGCCCAUAUCGACAAGUGGGUUUACGA